GCAACGGCCCUUUUCAGAGCCAUCAAAUGUGUGGAAAAAAUUGAAA
Aedes aegypti (yellow fever mosquito) is the source of this 46-nucleotide non-coding RNA. NCBI's taxonomy places the organism in Eukaryota, Metazoa, Arthropoda, Insecta, Diptera, Culicidae. The record is from Rfam.